GGGGAGGGACGAUUGGAGUGCGGGUCUAUACAUGCAAGUUGAGCGCUGAAGGUUGGUACUUGUACCAACUGGAUGAGCAGCGAACGGGUGAGUAACGCGUGGGGAAUCUGCCUUUGAGCGGGGGACAACAUUUGGAAACGAAUGCUAAUACCGCAUAAAAACUUUAAACACAAGUUUUAAGUUUGAAAGAUGCAAUUGCAUCACUCAAAGAUGAUCCCGCGUUGUAUUAGCUAGUUGGUGAGGUAAAGGCUCACCAAGGCGAUGAUACAUAGCCGACCUGAGAGGGUGAUCGGCCACAUUGGGACUGAGACACGGCCCAAACUCCUACGGGAGGCAGCAGUAGGGAAUCUUCGGCAAUGGACGAAAGUCUGACCGAGCAACGCCGCGUGAGUGAAGAAGGUUUUCGGAUCGUAAAACUCUGUUGGUAGAGAAGAACGUUGGUGAGAGUGGAAAGCUCAUCAAGUGACGGUAACUACCCAGAAAGGGACGGCUAACUACGUGCCAGCAGCCGCGGUAAUACGUAGGUCCCGAGCGUUGUCCGGAUUUAUUGGGCGUAAAGCGAGCGCAGGUGGUUUAUUAAGUCUGGUGUAAAAGGCAGUGGCUCAACCAUUGUAUGCAUUGGAAACUGGUAGACUUGAGUGCAGGAGAGGAGAGUGGAAUUCCAUGUGUAGCGGUGAAAUGCGUAGAUAUAUGGAGGAACACCGGUGGCGAAAGCGGCUCUCUGGCCUGUAACUGACACUGAGGCUCGAAAGCGUGGGGGAGCAAACAGGAUUAGAUACCCUGGUAGUCCACGCCGUAAACGAUGAGUGCUAGAUGUAGGGAGCUAUAAGUUCUCUGUAUCGCAGCUAACGCAAUAAGCACUCCGCCUGGGGAGUACGACCGCAAGGUUGAAACUCAAGGAAUUGACGGGGCCCGCACAGCGUGAGCAUGUGUUUAUUCGAAGCACCGCGAAGAACUACCAGGUCUGACAUACUCGUGCUAUUUCUAAGGAUAGAGUUCUUCGGGACCCGGAUACAGGUGGUGCAUGUGUCGUCAGCUCGGUCGUGAAUGUGGGUUAAGUUCCCGCAC
RNAcentral lists this ribosomal RNA (1068 nucleotides) under Lactococcus lactis. RNAcentral describes it as "bacterial SSU rRNA". It matches the Rfam family "Bacterial small subunit ribosomal RNA", at positions 25 to 1092 of the family's 1533-position model. Lineage: Bacteria; Bacillati; Bacillota; Bacilli; Lactobacillales; Streptococcaceae. The record is from RNAcentral.